AGAGUUUGAUCCUGGCUCAGGACGAACGCUGGCGGCGUGCCUAAUACAUGCAAGUCGAGCGAAUCGAUGGGAGCUUGCUCCCUGAGAUUAGCGGCGGACGGGUGAGUAACACGUGGGCAACCUGCCUGUAAGACUGGGAUAACUCCGGGAAACCGGAGCUAAUACCGGAUAGUAUCUUGAACCGCAUGGUUCAAGUUGGAAAGACGGUUUCGGCUGUCACUUACAGAUGGGCCCGCGGCGCAUUAGCUAGUUGGUGAGGUAAUGGCUCACCAAGGCAACGAUGCGUAGCCGACCUGAGAGGGUGAUCGGCCACACUGGGACUGAGACACGGCCCAGACUCCUACGGGAGGCAGCAGUAGGGAAUCUUCCGCAAUGGACGAAAGUCUGACGGAGCAACGCCGCGUGAGUGAUGAAGGUUUUCGGAUCGUAAAACUCUGUUGUUAGGGAAGAACAAGUGCGAGAGUAACUGCUCGCACCUUGACGGUACCUAACCAGAAAGCCACGGCUAACUACGUGCCAGCAGCCGCGGUAAUACGUAGGUGGCAAGCGUUGUCCGGAAUUAUUGGGCGUAAAGCGCGCGCAGGCGGUUUCUUAAGUCUGAUGUGAAAGCCCCCGGCUCAACCGGGGAGGGUCAUUGGAAACUGGGAAACUUGAGUGCAGAAGAGGAGAGUGGAAUUCCACGUGUAGCGGUGAAAUGCGUAGAGAUGUGGAGGAACACCAGUGGCGAAGGCGACUCUCUGGUCUGUAACUGACGCUGAGGCGCGAAAGCGUGGGGAGCGAACAGGAUUAGAUACCCUGGUAGUCCACGCCGUAAACGAUGAGUGCUAAGUGUUAGAGGGUUUCCGCCCUUUAGUGCUGCAGCUAACGCAUUAAGCACUCCGCCUGGGGAGUACGGCCGCAAGGCUGAAACUCAAAGGAAUUGACGG
RNAcentral lists this ribosomal RNA (926 nucleotides) under Bacillus sp. (in: firmicutes). RNAcentral describes it as "bacterial SSU rRNA". It matches the Rfam family "Bacterial small subunit ribosomal RNA", at positions 8 to 916 of the family's 1533-position model. Lineage: Bacteria; Bacillati; Bacillota; Bacilli; Caryophanales; Bacillaceae. The record is from RNAcentral.